This 1964-nucleotide ribosomal RNA is filed under the name Clostridioides difficile. RNAcentral describes it as "23S ribosomal RNA". It matches the Rfam family "Bacterial large subunit ribosomal RNA", at positions 951 to 2925 of the family's 2925-position model. Lineage: Bacteria; Bacillati; Bacillota; Clostridia; Peptostreptococcales; Peptostreptococcaceae. The record is from RNAcentral.
AAACUCCGAAUGCCGUCAUCUUAUACUUGGGAGUCAGACUGUGGGUGAUAAGAUUCAUAGUCGAAAGGGCAACAGCCCAGAUCGUCAGCUAAGGUCCCUAAAUGUAAGUUAAGUGGUAAAGGAUGUGGGAUUGCACAGACAACCAGGAUGUUGGCUUAGAAGCAGCCACUCAUUCAAAGAGUGCGUAAUAGCUCACUGGUCGAGUGAUCCUGCGCCGAAGAUUUCCGGGGCUAAAACUUACUACCGAAGCUACGGCAUCAGUAAUGAUGGGUAGGGGAGCUUCCCAUACGGGUUGAAGCAUGACCGUAAGGACAUGUGGACAGUAUGGGAGUGAGAAUGUUGGCAUGAGUAGCGAGAUGUGGGUGAGAAUCCCACAGGCCGUAAACCCAAGGUUUCCAGGGGAAGGUUCGUCCGCCCUGGGUUAGUCGGGACCUAAGCUGAGGCCGAAAGGCGUAGGUGAUGGACAACAGGUUGAUAUUCCUGUACUACCGAUAACCGUUUGAGAGAAGGGAUGACACAGUAGGAUAAGCUAAGCACACUGUUGGUUAUGUGUGCCCAAGCAUUGAGGCAGUCAAAGUAGGCAAAUCCGCUUUGAUAAUGCUGGGAUGUGAUGGGGAGCGAAAUUUAGUAGCGAAGUAGCUGAUUUCACACUGUCAAGAAAAGUCUCUAUCGAGGUUAAAGGUACCCGUACCGCAAACCGACACAGGUGGGUGAGGAGAGUAUCCUAAGGCCAGCGAGAGAACUGUUGUUAAGGAACUCGGCAAAAUGACCCCGUAACUUAGGGAUAAGGGGUGCCACCAUCAGGUGGCCGCAGAGAAUAGGCCCAAGCGACUGUUUACCAAAAACAUAGGUUUCUGCUAAGUCGCAAGACGAUGUAUAGGAGCUGACGCCUGCCCGGUGCUGGAAGGUUAAGGGGAUCUGUUAGAGCAAUCGAAGCAGUGAACUUAAGCCCCAGUAAACGGCGGCCGUAACUAUAACGGUCCUAAGGUAGCGAAAUUCCUUGUCGGGUAAGUUCCGACCCGCACGAAAGGCGUAACGAUUUGGGCACUGUCUCAACAACAGACUCGGUGAAAUUGUAAUUCCGGUGAAGAUGCCGGAUACCUGCGACAGGACGGAAAGACCCCAUGGAGCUUUACUGUAGCUUGACAUUGGGUCUUGGUACUACAUGUACAGGAUAGGUGGGAGGCUUUGAAACCAGGACGCCAGUUUUGGCGGAGCCAUCCUUGGGAUACCACCCUUGUAGUACUGGGACUCUAACCAUAGGCCAUGAAUCUGGUCUUGGGACACUGUCAGGUGGGCAGUUUGACUGGGGCGGUCGCCUCCCAAAAGGUAACGGAGGCGCUCAAAGGUUCUCUCAGUACGGUCGGAAAUCGUACGUAGAGUGUAAAGGCAAAAGAGAGCUUGAUUGCAAGACAUACAGGUCGAGCAAGGAUGAAAAUCGGACUUAGUGAUCCGGUGGUUCUGCGUGGAAGGGCCAUCGCUCAACGGAUAAAAGCUACCCUGGGGAUAACAGGCUUAUCUCCCCCAAGAGUCCACAUCGACGGGGAGGUUUGGCACCUCGAUGUCGGCUCAUCACAUCCUGGGGCUGUAGUAGGUCCCAAGGGUUGGGCUGUUCGCCCAUUAAAGUGGUACGCGAGCUGGGUUCAGAACGUCGUGAGACAGUUCGGUCCCUAUCCGUCGCAGGCGUAGGAAAUUUGAGAAGACCUGUCCUUAGUACGAGAGGACCGGGAUGGACGUACCUCUGGUGUACCAGUUGUNNNNNNNNNNNCUGCCAAGGGCAUGGCUGGGUAGCUAUGUACGGAAUGGAUAAGCGCUGAAAGCAUCUAAGCGCGAAGCCAACUUCAAGAUAAGAUUUCCCACCGCAAGGGUAAGACCCCAGAAAGACUAUCUGGUUGAUAGGUCGAAGGUGUAAGUGCAGUAAUGUAUUUAGCUUAUCGAUACUAAUAGGUCGAGGACUUGACCAA